This 1546-nucleotide long non-coding RNA is filed under the name Homo sapiens (human). RNAcentral describes it as "HSALNT0273581". Lineage: Eukaryota; Metazoa; Chordata; Mammalia; Primates; Hominidae. The record is from RNAcentral.
UGAGUCUCUAUUUUCAGACUUGGGCAAACUCUACUCCUCAAUUUGUGGAAAAAUCUCAGUAUUGAUCUAUGCAUGACCAGUGCAAAGGCUUUUAUAUGGACCAACCCCAGUCAGAAAGCAGGCACUUGGAAACCUCGUGUCUGUGAAGAACAAGGGGUGGAACCUCUGAAAUCCUCCCCUUUGAGAUUUCCCAUGCAUUCACACAUCCUUCUGUGUGCCUUGAAAAUGUAAGAAACAGAUGUGGGCAAGAGGCAGCCAGAAGACUCCGGCACAGGCCCUGCAACCUAUCUGCUCACAUCCUGCUUGGGAGACAUGUCAGCGAUAAACUCCAGGAGUAGUCACGAGGGCUGACAGGGGUUCCUGCCCGGCUCUGCAUCCAACAGCCUGGUGGAGCCUAGGCUAAGUCUACAAAAAUACGGAGCUCAGAGCUCCUACCUAGAUUUCUUUGCUUUAUUCAGGCAGAAUUGACAAAUUAAAAGCAGGUCCAUGGAGAAGGUGGAACACUGGACUAAAGAGACAGGCUGAGGAAGCCCUCAAGUCACCCCUGAUGGAGGCCAGACCUUGAAUGUUACAAUCCCUCUGCUUAUCGACCCUUAAUAAAAAUCUGAGCAGGUCUUCUCUGCAGGACACAGGAGGCUUUCUGGAAAAAAAAACAUGGAAAAGUGAGUCUCCUAAGCGUUCCCAAGUGAUUGAUGCAGGACACAUCUUAAAAGGAUGAAAGGAGGAUGGAGGAAAACUUCAGAAGGAAAUAACACAGUUUGAAUGAAAACACCUAUUUUGCAGAAAGUCCGGAAGUGCUCGACCAAGAGAUCGCGAGAUGGGAGCAGAGAGUACAGGAAAGGAAGGAGGAGAAAGAAAGGCUGGAAACCUUUGAAUGCACAAAAAAAACAGGUCAUGAAAGAUACCACGAGCCAACUAAAAUCUCUGGCUGAAAAUGUGCUGGACACCAUGCAGUUGGAAGAUUUCACUAGGGACCGCAGUGAUGAGGGGAACUUGGAAGCAGAGCUAAAGAGGAAAGCAGAAAAUGAAGAAACCACCCCCUUAAAAAUUAAGUAAAUUUUUUUAAAGUUAUGUGCAUACAUUCUGUAUAUACAGAAAAGAUAUCUAAAUUGUAUGCACGCAGAAGGAGCAUUGCCCCCACAAGGAACAGUUCAUGCUAAAUGGUGCAGAUGAAGAGACUUUGACAAAGGAAGUUUCCUGAGCUGUGGGCAGGGAUGAGAGCUCAGACAAAUGAUGGGAAGCCUCCCAGAUGCCAAGGUUUCCCACCCCCAGGUUUCAAGGGAGGAGAGAGGAAGUGAUGUCAUCUGAGCCCAGUGAGGCCCUGUCAAGGGACCAGGGAAAACUGCCCCCACUUUUUGCUCCCAUCCUCUCAUUGACUGCAGGUGCACAGGCAGCUGCCUGAAAGAGGGCCUGCGAAGUGCAAGCCAGAGGAGUUGGCCUCCAUGGCACAGAGCAGGCAGAAAACAAAUUUGGAGAAUGACCAGCACUCUUGGGUUUAUUUGACUGAAAGUGCUUGUUUUAUUGCAUUCACUCACAUCCAUUUAUU